GGGGGUGGGGAUUUUGUUUAUUUAUUUGAGUCAGAAUUUUGCCGCGCAAACGUUUUAUUACGGUUUUUUUUCGAUGCUGGUAAUCAAUUUUUUUUUCUUCAACAUUUAACACUAUAAUGUAUGGGGAAACUCUUGAUUCAGAAUAUUUUUUAUCAUCUGUAGGACCAGAAUUGUUUUCUUUAUCCAAUUGGGGUUCGGAAUAUUUCCAUCCCCCCUAUUUAGAGUCAAAUGGUCGUUCCCUUACUGCUAGAAAAAUUG
This 258-nucleotide long non-coding RNA is filed under the name Mytilus galloprovincialis (Mediterranean mussel). The record is from RNAcentral. Lineage: Eukaryota; Metazoa; Mollusca; Bivalvia; Mytilida; Mytilidae.